AGGUGGAAGGUGGCAGUUUUGGCCUCCUGAUCCUCACCUUUUUUCUGAGUUUUGUGUUUCUGUAUUUCUGGAGUGAAGCUCAGAACGAUUACAAUGAUUUUGACUGGUUUAAUUUUGGAAAUCUUGGCUUCUGGUUUCCCUGGUCUCUGGUUCUACUGGUUGUUGCUGCUGCUCUUUUCACAUACAUCGCCCUGCUGCUGGUGCUGGCUGUGUGUCUGCUCUCAGAGGGUCAAAGACUUUACCUUCACUGGAGCCACAAGGUACAUGU
This is a long non-coding RNA of Cynoglossus semilaevis (tongue sole), 268 nucleotides long. RefSeq lists it as uncharacterized. Lineage: Eukaryota; Metazoa; Chordata; Actinopteri; Pleuronectiformes; Cynoglossidae. The transcript has 3 exons. The record is from RefSeq and is a predicted model, not a curated record.